UUCCUACUCCCACACACAGUACAAUCACUUCUGUAGAAUUAGAUUUUCCCCAAGCUACACCCCCACUUCCCUUUUCUUUCUCUCUACGACAGUUUUGAGCAGUUUUUACCAGCUUUCAGCCGUCCUUUUCGGGUUAAGCAUAUCUAUUUGCAGCUACAUCCUUAACUGGAGCACAAGUAUUUCCAUUGAAGCUUUUUAUACUUCUAAAGUUCUCCAUCUUCAACUGAAAUUUACAACCUAUUCCUUCUCUCUGAAAUAAAAGUUAAAUCUUCUGCGCUUCGGUUAGAGCUCAUCUUUCUGUCACUUGGUUACUAAUAGGAGUAAGCUUUUGUCAUCUUACAAAGAUAUGACGUGAUUUACAGUCAUUUUUUGGAUGAGCCAACCUCUACUGGCGUUGAAAAGGGUAUGUUGGAGUGCAUUAGAUUGUGUUAAACAACAACAUAUGCCCAGUACAAUCCCAUAGACUGGGGCCUAGAGAAGGUUGGUUCAUAUCUUCUUACCUAUUCACUCUUGAUUUUUUACAACGAGUCCUACAAGAUGCAAUGGUACAUAGGCUCUUAUGCAAGGCAAAUAUUUUAACGGGUAGGAGCUUUUUUGGAGCUCAAAAGAAGCAGUACCUAAACCCAAAAAGAAAGUGACAUCAGACAAUUACUACGGGAUGGUGAGUGAAGGUGACACAAAUCCAAAUUCACUUCAUGAAGAGUCUGAGAUUGCUCAUGAUUCUCUGUUUAAGCCUCCCUUCACUCUCGAAGUUCAGCUCAGCGAAUAUGGUGAUUUUUCUCCAUCUUUACCCUUUUACCUUUCUCCCCAAGCCAUCCAUAAAUGGAGAAGGCGGUGCUUCUUUGCUCUGUUUCUUCUACUUCUACCCUCUCGUUGUCUAGAAUCUUCUCACGCUCUUCACAUCGCCUCGCUUCUUACUUAGCUAAAUGACACCGUUUAAUUCAAAACCUUCACCGUCGGUGUUCACUUCUUCGGAUCAAUAUUCGCAGCAUAUCGCGUUCAAUUCACUUAAAAAGAUAAUUUUACCCUCACUCUGUUUGAGCUAUCACUACUUCCGCACCUCAAUCAUUCAAGAUAUAUUCCUUUUCUCCAGAAGAUAUUCAAGAAUGCUUCAAUGCAACAAUUUUAGCGUGAACAUUUUUUUGUUGGAGAUGAAAAGGGAGAACCCAGCUCCAAACUCUGCCGUAGAUCAUCUUUCGAAAGCUUAAUCAUUGUCGGACGAUUUCGUAGGGUACAACUCAAGUAUUGACCUAAUGGCUCCAAAAAUACCACAACCUGAAGUGUAUUCCCGCAUAGUGGGGUCUGGGGAGGGCUAGGUGUUCGCAGUCCAUACCACUACCUCCGGAGAAGUAUAAAGGUUGUUUCAAAAAACUGAUUGAUUAUUAAGAGGAAAAGUUAGUUGAUUCCGAGUUAAAUGCAUACGAUGAUUGUGACGAUUCACAUGCCAAUGUGAAAUGUCAGAACAUAGAGAACUGUAAGUACCUUUACCACCUCAACAUAUACCAUUUUAAAUACUUGAGAUCUACAAGAUUUGCCUUUUGCAUUGAGAAUACUCCCGUUCAUGUACUGAUCUCAAUUUGUAAACUUUGAUAAUUUUGCCAUUCAAUCAGUAUAUGAUUCUUUCCCACAACCAUUUUGCAGCCUCACAUAUUACAUAAUGUUUAUCAUUGUCAUUUGAUUUUUUCUUCUUGAGUCGAGGGUGUAUAGAAAAAAAUUUCUCUACUCCGUUAUUAUGUGCAAUCACACAUUCAGAUUAAUGAAUAUUGCGAUCGCGUGGUUAUGUCUGCUGCAACUAAGAAGUAUGGGAAACAUAUCAACAAAUCUCUGAAGGUUUUAGAUAUGACCGACUUGAAACUUUUAGCUCUAAACCAAAUAAAGGUCGUCAAACCUCUUCUGUAGGAGAGAACCAAAAAAAAGGUUCAGGUUUUAUCAGGAUAUGAAUAGGAUGAUCUAUUGAAGUGAGGAAAAUCAUAGAGGUGUUUAUGGGUUCUGCUGAGGAAAACUGCAAAGUAGGAAGUUUGGUCAGUGGAGGACAUACUCUACUUGAUGAAAUAAAGUUGUUGAAGGAAAUGCAGGAUCAUACUGAGUUUCUUACCUGAACUAUCUCGAUUUUUCUGAGCUUUGUACCUCAACCUCAACUAUUCAAUUUUUUGAGUUUCCACCAUGUCCACAUCAGCAACAUCUGUCACCGAAUCACCGGAGAAGUCGCGAGUGAAAUCACCGAAUUCGACGCUGGCGUUCUGCGAGAUGCAUGGGAAUAGUUACAUUCGGGUCCAUGGAAUUCACUUGUACCCAUAUGGAGAGAUACAUAAUGUGCAACAGUUGUUACCUAGGAAGUCACUGUCUUGUAAGUUAGUAGGGAAAAGGUCAGGCUUAUCGUUGGAGGCAUUCCUGAAAGACCAUUAUUUAUCAGGAUCCCCGGUGGUCAUCAGAGAUUCCAUGGAUCAAUGGCCUGCUAAGAAUAAGUGGAAUGGCAUGAAUUACCUUAGAAAGGUUGCUGGCUUCCGUACGGUCCCCAUUGAGCCAUCCAGAGUUGGACUAAAUUUAUGUCAAGAUGGAGCUGGCUGUAGAGAGUCUGUGCUUAGGUGUUAUAGAAGGGAAGUCUACUCCAUAAGCAUGGAACGAGAGCUGGCUGUAGAGAGUCUGUGCUUAGGUGUUAUAGAAGGGAAGUCUACUCCAUAAGCAUGGAACGAGAGCUGCCUGUUACGUUGGGUUCAAGCUUGGAAUUUACAGAUGAAAGAAUGCAUCCAGAAUAAACAACCACGUACAGUACGCAUGUAUUACAGAAAAUAAGGAACCUCAUUUUGGCUUCACAUUUCACUUCAGGAAAGAUUUGAGAUGGUCUAAGAUGCUUCAAAUGCGAUAUUCGUUCUCAGGCAUCAAGAGAAACAGGUUGGUCUUGUUUCUGAUUAUGAUCUAUUGGCUCUGGACUCUGGACUCUGUAUCAGGUAUGACUUAUAGUUUUGAUGCAAGUUUUAUACAUUGAUUUUACACCCAUAUUUUAUUACGAUCCUUUCAACAGGACAUGGAACCUUUUGGCAUCUGUUUUGUUCACUUUUUUUCUGCUAUAAGGAAAAUACCCAUAUUUUAUUAGGAUUCUUUCAACAAAGACGUGGAACCUUUUUGGUUUUAUACCCAUAUUUUAUUAGGAUCCUUUCAACAAAGACGUGGAACCUUUUUGAUUUUAUACCCAUAUUUUAUUAGGAUCCUUUCAACAAGACAUGAAACCUUUUGGCAUCUGUGGUGUUCACUUUUUUUCUGCCAUAAGGAAAAUUGGAACUUUUUACUUAUUAACAUAUUAUAUAUAUCCAUGUGAAGACUGAUCAUAGUGUUUUAAGUUGGAUUCUAAAGUUGUUCAUUAGUUGGGAGUCCUCGUGCUCCUGGUAAAGCAUUAUUUUCUGAGGAGAAUAAGUGCAUCUCUUGCUCUUUCUCUUAGGUACAGAUGGAGCUGAUGCAAACAUGUUGAAGAGUAGCUCAUAGAACACUUGUGGAGAAAGGAAACAAUAAAAAUAAUUGUGUAGCUGUUUUAGACAUAAAAUCAAAUAUCUUGGAUUCAUUAUAGUUCUCUAAUAUCUCGUGUCAUUUAUAUGAAUGACAUAUUGCACAAAGUAUUAACCAUAAAAAGUGAAAAUAAAGAAUUUCACCUUACAAAUUCACCUUCUCAAGAAGAAGGAAGAUUAUAAUAAGUUAGAAAAACUAAAUGAACAAUUAAAGUGAGAACUGUACUCAAAAUUUUACAAGCAGAAUCACAGAUUUGACAAUCAACGUCUUCAAAUGUGCAAAUUCUUUUUUCCUGUUACUCUUAUCUUUCCCUUUCAAUUGCUAAAAAAGGACCUUAUAUUGCAAGUAUCACCUGAAAAAUCUACAACAUCAAUUCAUGUAACAUGUUUGGUUGGGACAAGAUGCAUGAGAUAACUCAUUCGGGAUUAGUUAUCCUGGAUUGUAGUGGGUGGGAUAAUUGAUCUCGGGAUACGUUAUGGAAGCUUGGUUGCAAGUAUUUUUGAGGUAAAAUCUAAAUUUAAUGCACUAUUCCAAUAUAUUAAGGCUCUUCUCCCAUUUGGAUGGUAAGAUAUGCCUUUUUGGUUGUACUAUUUUCAGACCUAAACAGUUGAGGAGUACAUGAAACACAUAACUGUCACUCCGUUGUAAAGGUUGGAUAUGUGCAAGCGAGCAACUUGCUUUGGAUCUUAUGAUUUACACUUUGAAUAUUCCUCUUUGUCGGUUGCUGCUGCUCCAUACUACAAAGAAGACUAAAUACCUUCCCACCUUGUAAAUAUGUAUGUAAUGUAAACAAUACGUAAAUGAAUGUUUGUCAAUCAUAUAAUAUUUAUAUGUGAAUAAUAUAUGUAAAUAAUAUAUAUGUCCAUGCUGAUAAAAA
RNA transcript from Capsicum annuum, 4378 nucleotides. RefSeq lists it as uncharacterized. Lineage: Eukaryota; Viridiplantae; Streptophyta; Magnoliopsida; Solanales; Solanaceae. The transcript has 18 exons. The record is from RefSeq and is a predicted model, not a curated record.